CAGGUCUUGUGUGCUAUUAGGAGCACGGAGGCCUCCGUGCUCCUAAGCCGUUUUCGAUGAUGGAGCUUCCGAAUCGACGAUCGGCUCCGUUAGACUUGAUCUAGCAUAUUUGAAGUAUCUAGAAAAUAAAUUUUGUGACUUUUUGAUAUUAUUUACCUAACGAUCGAAAGGGUUCAAAAUCAACGGCUGAAAAUAAAAAUCUCACAAAAAGUGGUAAUAUAGCAUUAAAAUUUUCGAUCAAACAUAUUGAUCUUGCUGUAAAUAGUAUAAAGAAUUUUCUAUCAAAAUUUCAUCUGAUUUGAAUACUUUUAUACCGUUAAACUUGUAAACGUUAUACAUCAACCAUUAAAAAUGGUUGAUUUUGAACCCUUUCAAUUGCUAGGAAAAUGAUACCGAAAAAUCACAAAAAUUAUUUUCCAGAUAGUUCAAAUACACUAGAUCAAGUCUAACGGAGUCGAUCGUUGAUUCGGAAGCUCUAUCAUCGAAAAAGGCUUAGGAGCACGGAGGCCUCCGUGCUCCUAAUAGCACACAAGACCUACUAUAUAUAUAUAUAGAGUCCGGCUACUAUCCUCUUAAGAGGAUAGAAGCCUUUGUCCUAUCAAGUCAUUUUAGAUGAUUGGGACUUCAAAUUGAUAAUCGACACCGUUGAAAUUGAUCUUAUACUGUUAGAAAUAUUUAGAAACCGAAUUUUGUAAUUUUUAAAAAUCAUUAUCAAGUCCAUCGAAGAGUCGAAAAAUGAAAGGUCGAAAACAAAUGACCUUCUGAAAACAGAGGUUAGAUUUUCUCAGUUUACGAUCGAAGUUAUUAAACAUUAUCUAAAUAGUAUAAAGAAUUUUCUAUCAAAAAUUCAACCGAUUUGGAUUACUUUAUACCGUUAAAUAAGAAAACGGCUCAUAUUAGCCAUCAAAAACUAUUAAUUUUGUAAUCCUUUGCUCACUAUGUAAAUAAAUAUUAAAAUUUAUAACAUUUAGUUCUUACAUAAUUCAAAUACUCUAAAUCAACUUCAACGGUUCCGAUCAUCGAUUCGGAAUCUCUAUCAUUAAAAACGAUUUGAUAGGACGAAGGUCCCUAUCCUCCUAAAAGGAUAGCAGCUGGAUUCUAUAUAUGUAGAGAGAGAGAAAGAGAGAGAGAGUGAGGCUGGUAUGCUUCUAGAAGCACAGAGCCCUCCGUGCUUCCUAGUCAUUUUCGACACUGGGAUUUUUGAAUCGACGAUCGGCUCCGUUAGACUUGAUGUAGAGUAUUUGAGUACCUAGAAAAUAAAUUUCACUAUAUAUAUAUAUAUAUAUAUAUAUAUAUAUUUCACUAUAUAUAUANGUUUUCGAUGAUGGAGCUUCCGAAUCGACGAUCGGCUCCGUUAGACUUGAUUUAGCAUAUUUGAAGUAUCUAGAAAAUAAAUUUUGUGACUUUUUGAUAUUAUUUACCUAACGAUCGAAAGGGUUCAAAAUCAACGGCUGAAAAUAAAAAUCUCACAAAAAGUGGUGAUAUAGCAUUAAAAUUUUCGAUCAAACAUAUUGAUCUUGCUGUAAAUAGUAUAAAGAAUUUUCUAUCAAAAUUUCAUCUGAUUUGAAUACUUUUAUACCGUUAAACUUGUAAACGCUAUACAUCAACCAUUAAAAAUGGUUGAUUUUGAACCCUUUCAAUUGCUAGGAAAAUAAUACCGAAAAAUCACAAAAAUUAUUUUUCAG
This 1685-nucleotide long non-coding RNA is filed under the name Ananas comosus (pineapple). RNAcentral describes it as "long non-coding RNA (ACOM_LNC014897)". The record is from RNAcentral. Lineage: Eukaryota; Viridiplantae; Streptophyta; Magnoliopsida; Poales; Bromeliaceae.